RNAcentral lists this long non-coding RNA (29336 nucleotides) under Cicer arietinum (chickpea). RNAcentral's name for it is "long non-coding RNA (CARI_LNC000302)". The record is from RNAcentral. Lineage: Eukaryota; Viridiplantae; Streptophyta; Magnoliopsida; Fabales; Fabaceae.
CUCCUUUGGGGUUGUACAACCGAUUUGUAAUUGUCCUCCAUUAGGAUUUUGUGCAUACAAAAAGUCAAACUUAUUCCUUUCAAGUCCUCAAUGGACCAAACGAUGGCCCCCUUAUGCUUCCGCAGAAUUCUCAACAACUUUUCUUCUUGUAACUCACUCAAGCUUGCACUAACUAUGGUUGAAUUCUUAUCUUUUUCACCCAGGAAUACAUAUUUCAAAUGAGGAGGUAACUGCUUGAGUUCAAUCAGUGGUGUAUUUUUCUCUGAGGGCUUGUCUUCAUUACCUUUCAACUUCUCCCAUCUAGUAGGAAAAUGGGGGGAGUAGGAUGGUGAUGCUUCUAACAUGGCCAAAACCUCUUUCACCUUUGGAUCUUCACUUUCUUUAACAACGUCUUGAAGUACUUCCACUUUGUUUGGCUUUAGGUGGUACUUGUUCACUUACCUUGCCACUCCUCGUUGUCACGGCAUUGACAUUAUUUCGCGGAUUUGGAACUAUGUCACUAGGCAAAUUUCUAGGCGCUCUUUGUGCCAUUUGUUGAGCAAGUUGACCCAAUUGGGUCUCCAGAUUAUUUAUUGAUGCAGAGUGGUUUUUCUGGAUGGCUCUUGACUCUUCAAUGAAAUAACUUGUGUUUGCUACUAACUUCUCAAUAGCACUCUCCCAAGCAGGUUUUCGAGGUGGAACCUGAUUUGCUUGAGCUCCUUGAUUUGAUGCUCCAUUUCUUCGUUGACUAUCGCAUCUAAGAUCUCGAUUCGAUUGCACCCUUCUCUUUCUUUUGAAUGUUCCAUGGCUUUUAGAAUGUUAAAAGUGACGGUUUCUUCAUUUACUUUUAAGGUUAAGGUGCCAUCUGCUACAUCAAUCGUAGCUCGCCCUGUUGCUAAGAACGGUCUCCCCAAAAUCAAAGGAAUUUAAUUGUCCUCAUCCAUAUCUAGUACCACGAAAUCCACUGGAAAAAUGAACUUACCCACUUUAACCAACACAUCUUCCACCAUUCCAUAGGGAUGUUUCAUUGAGCGAUCCGCAAACUGUAACAUCAGUUCUAUGUCUUUGACUUUUCCAAUGCCCAACUUUUUGUAUAUGGAAAGGGGCAUAAGACUUACACUAACCCCAAGAUCACACAAAACCUUCCCAAAAGUUUUAUUUCCAACAGCGCACGGGAUUGAUAAGCUUCCAGGAUCCUUGAGCUUCGGUGGCAGCUUCCUCUAUAGUAUAGCACUACACUAUUCGGUAAGCAUCACUAUUUCAGCGCCGGUUUUUCUUUUCUGCAAUUUUUUAAAAACAUCAAGAAACUUGCCGAAUUGUUUUUCCAUUUCUUCCUUUUUUAAUCUUUGAGGAAACAGAAGUCGAUUUUCUGGUUUUGGCAGUGUCUCCUUUUUUCUGCGCCACAUGUUCUUCUUCCUUUUCAAGAGCGAUGUGCUCCUCAACUGAUGUCGGGGUGACCAUUUCCUCCGAGUGGGUCGAAGUUGAAGUACUUCCACUUUGUUUGGCUUUAGGUGGUACUUGUUCACUUACCUUGCCACUCCUCGUUGUCACGGCAUUGACAUUAUUUCGCGGAUUUGGAACUAUGUCACUAGGCAAAUUUCUAGGCGCUCUUUGUGCCAUUUGUUGAGCAAGUUGACCCAAUCGGGUCUCCAGAUUAUUUAUUGAUGCAGAGUGGUUUUUCUGGAUUGCUCUUGACUCUUCAAUGAAAGAACUUGUGUUUGCUACUAACUUCUCAACAGCACUCUCCCAAGCAGGUUUAUGAGGUGGAGCCUGAUAUGCUUGAGCUCCUUGAUGACCUUGAGAUCCACCAUGUUGAUCUUUCCACGAAAAAUUUGGGUGAUUUCUCCAUCCAGGGUUGUACAUACUAGAGUAGGGAUUGCUUUGCUUCUCGUUAUUACCCAUAAAAUUCACCUCUUCUAGUUCUUUUAUAUCAUUUUCAUCCAGUGCUUCACAAGCUCCAUUUUUAUGUGCUCCCCCACAAAAGUCAAAACCAGUAUGUUUCAAUAAUUUGACAUGGGCCACUUGGGUUGUAUAAUUAGAGCUGCCAUCCCUUUCUUUAUCUCAGCGGCGAUAACAUCUACUAUCUGUUUUGAGAGCAACCUGCCUCGAGCCAACCCAACAUCAAUAACAUUCAGUUCCAAUAUACCACUUGUUGACCCUCCACCUCUAUCAUACAACAUCAUUUGUUCAUUUGAUGCCACGAUCUCAAUAAUGUUUUGUGCUUCUAAUGCGGUCUUGUAAUUCAAAGAACCCCUGUUGUAGCAUCCAACAUAAUUCUCGUGUUAGGCCUCAAACCAUUACAGAAUAUCUGCAUCUGAGCAAUGUCAUCAUAAGCAUGAUUGGGGAAUCCUGCUAGUAAACUAUUGAACCUCCUUUAAGUGUCAAGAAGAGAUUCUUCUUCUUUCUAUUUGUAACUAGAAAUCUCUUGCCUCUUUCUAAUGAACACAGUUGGGGGAAAGUAUUGUUCCAAGAAUUUAUCUUCAAGGUCAUCCCAUGUGGUGAUGCUAUCGGCAUGAAAUGAAUUAAGCCACUCCUUAGCAUCAUCUUUCAAUGACAAUGGAAAUAAUUUCAACCACUUGCCUUCUUCAGAACAACCAUCCACCUUCACUAUUUCACAUAGCUCAAAGAAGUUUGUGAGAUGUCUAUUGGCGUCUUUGUUAUGUUUACCGGCAAAACGAAUCUCCUUCAACUCUCGUAAUAGAGCGGGGCUCACUUCAAACUUGUUGACUGUAAUCGGUUGGUUACAGAUGGCCAGCCGAGCACGGCUUAUAUUUCGAUUCCCAUACUCACCGAGGGUACGUUCUAGUGGUGGUGGAUCGGUCAUUUCCAUAAAUAUGACAAAAUCACCCAAAACCUCUUCUUCCACUCCUAACUAACUAUCUUUCCCUUUGUCUCCUUUCUCGAGCCGCCUUUCGAUUUGCUUUUGCAGUUUUUUCGAUUUCUGGAUCAAAGAUAAGUUCCGCUGAGGACUGGCCUCGCAUUCAAGGUUAGACAAAUUGUGAGUAAUGAAGAGUUUUAAAAGAAAUAAAAAUAAUAAUUAAAAUAAAAACAAAAAUUUUAUUGUAGAGCAACAAAUUUCAAUUAAGUAAAUAGAUUAAAUUCAAUAGUGAUAUGGCAAUCCACGGCAACGGCGCCAAAAACUUGAUAGCGUUUCAGCAAGUGUACUGAAUCGUUGCAAGUAAUAAUAAAACGGUAGUACCGAGUGUUGAACUCAAGGAUUGUGUUUUACUAUCGAAUUAAAAUUAAUUACUAAAAUUGAACAAAAAGUUCCCAAGCUGAUUGAAAUGAUAUUUAAAAUUAAUAACAGUAUUGAUGUCUAAUUUGAUCCUAGUUAUUGAAUUCCUUUAUUGAAUUAUUACCGAAUUCUCUUUAUUAUUCUUGCCCUAAUGUCUUAGUGACAGAACCUUUAAUUCCAAAGUAACCCCUAUUUCCUUAGUGGAUUUAAGAUUAUAAUUAAGCAUUACUGUACAUGAAUUCUCUUGUUAAACUAUUGUCUCUGCAACUAAUUUAACUGGUUUCAUGACCUGCAUAUAUCCCAAGACUACGAAUUUAUGAAUUUCUCAUCUCAAGCACUCGUAUAGUCCACUCCCGUUUCAAAAUAUGAAUCGUAGAACAUUUUAAUGUUGAUUAAGCAAUAAAAAGCAUUAAGCACAGAAAUAAGAAAAAUAAUUCAAUAAGCUCAUUCAUAUAAAUAGAAAUCAAAUUAGAAAAAUAAGGGUUUCAUCUUGUUACACUCAUCCCUAACAAAUAGGGUUUAGUUACUCAUGAUAGAGAUAGAAAAGAUAGAAAUUAGAGAAGAAUUACAAGAAAGAUCCAUAAAUGAUUCUUGAUAAAACUGCUUCAAUGGUGUUAGAAAAAGUUGUCUUUGAGUUUCUAUGCUAGGGCACAAGUCUUCAUACUUCCCAAUAGACAAAAAGAUGCCUAGAAAGUGAAACAUUGCGUUUUUAAUGAAUGUUCUCGCGUCCACACGCCUCAUGCGCAGAAAACGCGCUUCAGGCGCACGCUGGCAGUACAACAUCUAUUGUCUAACUUAUACUACAUUUUUCUCCUCUUUCGAGUAUUAAUGUGGUUCUGGUUUCUUUAUGAAAGUUGUAACUAUGGACAUUAGCUUUCGUUUGCACGUAGUUUGGAAUCCAAUUGCACAUAGUUUGCACCGUUUUCAAAUAGAUUUUUAUACAAUUAAAAUAUUUAUAAGCUUGUUAUAAAAUGCAGACAGAGUUUAGAGGAAAUUAUUCGAACAUAAUAUAUUAUUUUACACUUUUAAGUAUAACAUAUGUUCUUACAUAUAUACUCUCCUUCUAAAGUAAAACUAAUAUAUUUGUAUGACAUUUUAAAUUUCUAAACCCGCAAACCCUGCCCUGACAUAAAUAUAUAUAUAUANNNNNNNNNNNNNNNNNNNNNNNNNNNNNNNNNNNNNNNNNNNNNNNNNNNNNNNNNNNNNNNNAUUUUUUAGAUGUUGAAUUAUUUAAAACUAAAUUACAAUUUUAAGUAUUCAAAAAAUUUAUCAUCAAAAGGUUUCUUUAUGAGUUUCCUAAAUUUAUAAUAUAGCUUUUGUGCUUCUGAAAUUAAAAAUAAUAUAGCAGUAACUACAAAAUAUGAUAAAUAAAAGAAAUGUAAAAAUCUUAACACACUUUGCAUACGGAUCUUUCAGUUGUCUUGGAUAUUUGUAAGGUUUAUGGAGUAAUUGUUUAGAAAGCAUUGCUAUACGUUGAGGUUUGUUUGAAACCUCUAUAUAUUUUAAUAAUUUGUACAUUGAUAAUAUAUAUUUAAAUUUAGAGUUUUAUAGAGAUAAUAAUAUUGGUUUUUUUUAUCAUAAACACAUAAACAUCGAUCACCCAUGUUAUUUGUUCUUAUGAUUGAGUUUUGAAAGGACACGGUGAUACAUGAGAACCAACAUACUUAUAUAUAAACAAACAUAAAAUAAAAUAUAUAAAAAAAUCCACAUAUGACAGGAGAUAUAAUACAAAUACAUAAUGAAAUAAAAUAAGAAAAUUGUGCGAUACACAAACACCCAUGCAGUAGUAAAAUCAUCCCUUCAAGUCAGACGGGUCUUAUUUUGAAGAUUUAAGAAACAAACUUUAGCAUGACAAGAUCUAGCUCCCUUUUAAUGAUUUUCCAGUGUAUGGUAAUUUAUCAGGAUAUAGCAUUAAAGGUCAGUGUGCAUGUCCUAUAUGUGAAGAGAGUACAAAUUGGAUGCGGUUGAAACAUUGUAAGAAGAAUGUGUUUCUUGGACAUUGUAGAUUUUUACCUUAUAGUCAUCAGUAUCGUGGGUGGAGAAAUGCAUUCAAUGGAAAAUCAGAGGAAGGUAAAGCUCCUUUAGCACCGACUGGAUAUCAAAUACUUGAAAAAGUACAAGGUUUGACCAAUAAAUUUGGCAAACCUUUUGCGGGAGAGCUGGUCAAAACUGGGUGGAAGAAAAAGUCAAUUUUCUUUGAAUUGCCAUAUUGGAAGUCAUUGUAUAUAAGACAUUUCCUCGAUGUGAUGCAUAUUGAAAAAAAUGUAUUUGAUAGUGUUAUUGGUACGUUACUCAAUGUUCCAGAAAAGUCUAAAGAUGGCGUCAACGCAAGAUUGGACUUGGUCGAUAUGGGAAUAAGAAAUGAACUGGCUCCAGUAAAGAAAGGAAAUCGCACGUAUCUACCUCCAGCCGCUCAUACUCUAUCUAGAAAGGAAAAAAUUAUUUUAUGAAAAUUUCUACACGAAGUUAAAGUUCCAGAAGGAUACUCUUCGAACAUUAAAAAUUUGGUUUGUAUGAAAGACCUCAAGUUAAAAGGUUUGAAGACCCAUGAUUGUCAUAUUAUAAUGGAGCAUUUGCUACCAAUAGGUAUACGUUCCAUUUUACCUGAAAAAGUUCGACUAGCCUUAACUAGAUUAUGUUUCUUCUUCAGGGAAAUUUGUAGUAAAGUGAUCGACCCUCAGAAAUUACCGACAUUGCAGAGGGAAAUUGUUGUUACUUUGUGUGAGCUUGAAAUGUAUUUCCCACCAUCGUUUUUUGAUAUAAUGGUUCACCUUACUGUUCAUCUGGUUAAGGAGACACAACUUUGUGGGCCAGCUUAUAUGAGAUGGAUGUAUCCGAUAGAACGAUAUAUGAAAAUAUUAAAAGGGUACGUAAAAAGUAGAAGUCGACCAGAAGGUUGUAUUGCUGAACGAUACAUUGUUGAAGAGGCUGCUGAAUUUUGUACUGAAUAUCUGUCCAAUGUUGAAUCCAUAGGGCUUCCCAUGUCUCGUCAUUCGGGAAGACUAUCAGGAGAAGGGAUAACUGGAAGGAGACUACUGACUAUAUCAAGGACAGAAUGGGAGCAGGCACAAUUGUAUGUUCUGCACAAUGAUGAUGAGGUUCAACCGUAUGUUACAAUACACAUUGAUCAGUUAUCUCGUUUGAACAUGAAUAGGAAUCAAAAUUGGAUAACUCGAGAGCACAAUCGAAGUUUUGUAACAUGGUUAAAAAAUCACAUAAUGUCAAAAUUUGAUAUAGACCCCGGAUCAAUUUCAAAUAGAUUGAGGUGGCUAGCAAAUGGUCCGAGCUUACAUGUCUUUUCUUACACUGGUUAUGUUAUUAACGGCUACACAUUUUAUACCAAAGAACAAGAUGAUCAGACCACUAUGCAAAAUAGUGGAGUCACUCUCGUAGCUGAAGCGAUGCAUGUCUCAAGUGCAAAAGACAAAAACCCAAUAUAUGCAAAUCUAUCAUAUUUUGGGGUUAUCGAGCGCAUAUGGGAGUUAGACUACACAAUGUUUCGUGUUCCCAUAUUUGGUUGCAAGUGGGUCGAUAAUAAUAAUGGCGUUCGGAUUGAUGAGUCAGGAUUCUUGCUUGUCGAUUUUAAUAGGGUGGGAUACAAAGACGAGCCUUUUAUUUUAGCGUCGCAAGCUCAACAAGUGUUUUAUGUCACUGAUCCUUCUAAUGAUAAAUGGUCUGUUGUCCUAUCGACCAAUAAAAUAAGUGAUGAUAACAAUAAUGAUGAAGAUGUUGGUAAUGAUCUUUUAUUUGCAACAUCACAACAACCACAUGAAAUUGAUUCAACUGAUGAUGGUUUAUAUCUUAGAGAUGAUCAUGAUGAGGGAAUUUGGAUUAAUCCAUCGUUUCGUAUUGUAAAUGGACAAACAAAUGUGAAUGUCACCAGGAAAAGAAGAAGGGCAUCUUAAUGUAUAUAUAUGUUUAAUUGUUUUAUAUAAGCUAUGCAUGUAAUCUGAACUGUGUUAUUGUAAAUAUGCAUGUAAUCUGAAUUGAGUGUUUUAUACUAAGUUCUGAUUAAUUUAUUUUCUGAUUAAUUUAUUUUCUGCUUAUAUUUAGCUUGAUUUGAGUGUUUUAUACCAAGUUCAUGUAACAAUGAGUGUUUUAUAUUUAGCUUGAUUUACAUGAACUGAACUGAAUAUAAAUUAGUAAUUUACAUGAACUGAACUGAACUGAAUAGAGAGAUUCUCUUUUGCUCAGUGCAUAUAUAUAUAUAGAUUCUUCAGAAUACUCAUUUCUAAUAAUUCAUCAUCUCCUAAAGUAUUGUGAUAAAGACAAUGAUAACAAUAUUUUUAAUCCAAUAAACAAUGAUAAAAAUGUUUUUAAUGUCAUCCCAACCCAAAUAAACCAAACACAAAAAUAAAAUAAAGAGACAUUUUACAGCGCUUAUCUUAAAAAGCGCUGUAAAAGAUCCUUUUAAAAAUAAAAUAAUGAGUGUUUUAUACCUUUUACAGCGCUUUUCACACAAAGCGCUGUAAACGACUCUUUUGAAAGUGAGUAAAAAAGACAUUUUACAGCGCUUAUUUGACAAAGCGCUGUAAAAAAGCUUUAAAAAUAAUAUUCAUCAGACACCUAAUUUCUUCAAACACCUUGUACGCAUCAUGGGAAUCCAAAAAACAUCAGACACAAACCCAUUUCUUCAAACACCUUGUACGCAUCAUGGGAAUCCAAAAAACAUCAGACACAAACCCAUUUCUUCAAACACCUUGUACGCAUCAUGGGAAUCCCCAAAAACACCAGACACAAACCCAUUUUUCGCAACAUGGCAAUGAUCCUGAAUACCAAUUAAGUUUCGAUUUAAGAAGGAAAGAGAAUGUAAAGAGAUAAAAAGGGUGUUGAGGUGGAGAUUGAAUUGUGAAAGAGUAAGCUUUGAUGUUUGUGAAGAAGAUGCAUAAAAGGAGAAGAGUUUGGUGAAGAGGAAGGGAUUUUUGUGGUGACCAGUUACUACUAUGUGGGUUUUGCAUGCAUGUUGAGCUUGUUUAAAAAAUAACAUAACAUAACAAAACACAAAAACAAUAAGGCCUUUUACAGCGCUUAUUUGGAAAAAGCGCUGUAAAAGAGCCUUUUAAAAUUAACAUAAAGAGACAUUUUAGAGCGCUUAUGUGGAAAAGCGCUGUAAAAGGCUUUAAAAAACAUUCAUAUAACAUAAUAACACACGGAGGUCUUUUACAGCGCUUAUUUGGGAAAAGCGCUGUAAAAGAGCCUCUUAAAAUUAACAUAAAGAGACAUUUUAGAGCGCUUAUGUGUAAAAGCGCUGUAAAAGGCAUUCAAAUAACAUAAUAACACACGGAGGUCUUUUACAGCGCUUAUUUGAAAAAAGCGCUGUAAAAGAGCCUUUUAAAAAUUUAACUAAAGAAGCCUUUUAGAGCGCUUAUGUGUGAAAGCGCUGUAAAAGGCAUUCAUAUAACAUAAUAACACACGGAGGUCUUUUACAGCGCUUAUUUGAAAAAAGCGCUGUAAAAGAGCCUUUUAAAAAUUUAACUAAAGAAGCCUUUUAGAGCGCUUAUGUGUGAAAGCGCUGUAAAAGGCAUUCAUAUAACAUAAUAACACACGGAGGUCUUUUACAGCGCUUAUUUGAAAAAAGCGCUGUAAAAGGCAUUCAAAUAACAUAAUAACACACGGAGGUCUUUUACAGCGCUUAUUUGAAAAAAGCGCUGUAAAAGGCAUUCAAAUAACAUAAUAACACACGGAGGUCUUUUACAGCGCUUAUUUGAAAAAAGCGCUGUAAAAGAGCCUUUUAAAAAUUUAACUAAAGAAGCCUUUUAGAGCGCUUUACAAAAUAAGCGCUGUAAAAGGCUUAUAAAAAGCGCUGUAAAAGUGUUACGUAUAUAUAACAGUUACCUCUUCAGUUUCCUCUUCAUUACGUAACCUUCAUCUCAACCUUCAUUUCUUCUCUUCUUUUGCAAACCCUAUCAUCCCGUCCUUUACGAACCUUAUUUCCACGAUCAUCUCCUUCAUUUCGAACCUUAUUUCCAUCCAAGAUCAUCUCUCCCAUUUCACACAAUAUAUUUUCAUUGAAAUACGUAACCCUCAUUACGUAUUUCUUCAAACCGUAUUUCUGUGAACCAUAUUUCUGUGAACUUUCUGCAAACCCUCUUUUCUUUGCAUUUCGUCUUUCUUCGAACCAUCAUUAUUCAGGUAUUGAUGUUAUUAAAUUUUUGUAAUCAUUAGAAUGCAUGUUGAGCUUUUUUAAGAUAUACUGAUACAUGUUGAGUUUGUUUAUAAUAAUGCAUGAUCCAUGUUGAGCUUGUUGAUGUUAUACUAAAGUGCAUGUUGAACUUGUUGUAGUUAAAUGGAUACAAACAAAGAUUUAGAAGUUCAAAAUGAAGAAGUUGGCACCUCUAAGACUUACGAAAAAGAAGUCAAACGUGGUGCAACUAUCAUGCAAAGGGUGAUUAAAGCACGGAGCAGUGGCAUUAAAUUUGAGGUAUACUAUAUAUACUCUGUUUGCUGUGUGUUUUUUUAUCUUUUUUUAGGGUUUAGGGCAUGUACUUACUAUAUGAGUUUAUUAGGUUGGCUGGAACGAGAGUGGUCAGCCAGUUGACCCCAACAGCUCCAUGUUUGUAAGCUACAUUGGGGCUGUUGUUCGUCAAAAUGUCCCAAUAACAAUAGACAACUGGAGAGAUAAGGCGUUGAAGGAUGCCAAAGAUAUCAUCUGGAAUGACAUUCAAGUAAAUAUUUUGAUCUACUCUUUUGUCAUUUAUAAUUUUUUUUCUGUAAAAUACAUUACUUAUAAUUGUUUUCAUUGCAGACCACUUUUGUUCUUGAUGAGGAACGAAAGUCAUAUGUUUUGAGAGUUGCUGGGAAAAUCCAUCGUGGAUUUAGAUCCCAUCUCUCAAAUUUCUAUCUAAAAGAUAGAGAAGGAAACACAAAUGCUGAACCUCCAAAGAUAUAUCAACAUUAUAUAUCAAAGGAUGAAUGGAGUGCAUUUGUUUCCAAACGUUCUGACCCGGCGUUUGUCGUAAGUGAUUAAUUUAUUAGCAUUUGUGUUUUAUUAUUCAUAUUCGUAGCGUAUUUUAAAUUUUUACACAAUUGCUAUUUUUUUUUUAUAUAGAAUAUUAGUAAGGCAAAUCGCGAACGGGCAAGCAACCCAAAACACCCAUACAAGAAAUCACGUAUGGGAUAUGCACGCCUUGAACAAAAAAUUGUAAGUAAUUAAACAUCACUUGUAAUUUGUAUUAUAAACUAUAGUGUGUAACUAAUUUGUAUUAUUUUGUUUAUGAUUUUAACGAAUAGAGAAAAGACACCCAAGCCGAUCAACCCUUGGGUCGUCAUAUCUUAUGGAAGGAAGCGCGUGUUAACAAAGAAGGAGUGGUUGAUAAUGAAAAUGUCAAGAAAGUUGUAGAACUUUGUGUAAGUAUAUUAUCACUUUAAUAUUUUUUAAUAUUGUAUUUUAAAAAUGCUAUUGAACUUAUCUUUUUAAUGUUACAUGUAUUUUAGGAAACUAUUGAACAAAGUUCUGAAACUCAAGAGGGCAACAAGGAUACGUGCAGGGACAUUCUUGGGAAAGUGUUUAAUGUCCCUGAGUAUUCCGGUCGAGUGAGGGGGAAAGGAUUUGGCGUAACUCCCAAAAGCUUUUUUCCUCAAGAGAAGCGCCAAAAACCUUCCAACGAGGAAGUAUUAGAGAAGCUCAGAAUCUUAUCGGAGCAAGUGGCACUCUUGGUGAAUACGAAUAAAGACAAGCAACUUCCGGUUCAGCUCCAACCUGAAAUACAAAUGGAGAGUGAAACCGGGAGUUGCAACGUCGGUUUGAAGAGUAUUCCCGAGGUAAUUAAUUACUUACUACUUACUUGCUUAUGUAAUUACUUAUGUAUUAAACAAACUUAUAUAUUAACUGUACUUAUGUUUUAACUAUUGAUGUAGGGUGUCACUACAUGUGUCCUAUACUUGUCCUCGCCGACUCAACGGAAGGUGGGAAAAGGAAUAUUGCACAAUACUUCGGGAGAAGUAUUGCACAAUAUUCCGAUCCCCGCGGGCCAUGUCAAAGUAUCGCCUACGGUUGCUUUCGAACCAACUGCACCGUUGCCCAUACCGGACAACGAUGGAGAUAUGAAGUUCUUAAGCGACGCUAUUGGCAGUUACGUGGCAUGGCCCACACACCUUGUUGCCCUCGAAAAAAAGAUUCCCAAGGACAAAUCAGUUACAUCUCCCGAAAAGGUUUGUCACAUUUAUUGCCUAAGGUUUUUUAUUUUUUCAGAUUCAAUAAACUAACAUUUUACCUCAUUUUUGUAGGUCCAAAUAAAUAAACCACCCCUACAGCCAAAAAAAGGCAGCAGACCUCAAAAAUUGGAGGUUAAUAGGGCUGCCAAACUACAAAGGCUGGAGGGUAAUAAAGCUGCAAAACUUGCAGCAACAAAAAAUCUGGAUCGGGGAAAAUCGGUCGCUGCUGCUGCUGCUCCUAAUAAAAGUCAGCCACGCCUUGGUAAAUACGGGGCGUGUCUUGACAUCCAAAUAAAAAGGAACAUGGGCAGCAGCAACGAUUCGCCCAUUGUACAAAUGAAUCAAGACAUCUUUGGAGAUGAGUAUAUUGAAUACCUCGAAAAGGAGCAAAUGUACGAUCUUCUCGAACAUAAGGAGCUGAGUGUUACUGUAAUCAGCUUGUACAUAAGGUAAAAAAUACUUUUAAUUGCAUUUAUUUGUAAUUAAUUAAAUGUAUUGGUAAUUAAUCUAGUUUAAAAUUUUCAUUGAAGGUUUUUGUACGAGAAGGUCGUGUGCACGAGGAAACUGUCAAAUAAAUACUCAUUCUUGUCUCCGCAUAAGAUGUCGAUGUUCAAACUCGAUCCAGACAAUGUAAAACACUACAUUGUAGAUAUGUUUUUAAGAAAUAAAGAAAGUGAUAAAUUGUUCUUGGCACCAUAUAAUUCAGGGUACGUAAUUUUAUCUUUUUUAAUUGAUGAGAAUUUAACUUAAUCUUAAAAUUUUUGUUUGUGAUUUCGCAAGUUAAAUUUUAUUUCUUAGAUUAUGUUAUUGCUCAAGUCGACAAGCCUUCCUAAUGCAUGCAUUUUUUAUUACUAAAUGGUUCCAGAAGGCUAAUAUGCCAUCAAUUUUUCAAAAAUACAAUUUUAACUUUUCAGAAGCAUGUUGGCUUUAUUUUGAUUGUUCAUACUCUCUCUUAUUAUCCUAGCUGUGAGCUUUUGAGCCUAAACACUUAAAUUCUUUGUUGUGUGAUUAUCCAGACAUGUGUUAUCCCUCUAGAACUUGCACUAAUUCUGACUUGCAUCACUUGUAAUUUAUGCAUACAUUGAGGCAAUUUUAUUGGUCGUUUGAGCCUUUCUAACUACCCUAUGAAAAUUUUACCCUUUGCUAGCCCCUUUCAGCCUUGCCCUUUUAUUUCGGCUACUAGCCACAUUACAAGAAAAACACCUUACUUUAAUUAAAUCACCUUACUUGGAGUUAGGUAGAAAAAAUUCUUGUCUGGAUAAAAUUCUAAGUUUGGGGUUGCUCAUGGGAUAGCAACUUUCUAAGUUUGGGGUGGUGAUUGUCAGAAAAGGAAAAUAAAAAAAAUAAAUAAAAAGAAGAAAAAUAAAAUGAAAGGAGAAAGAAGAAAAAAAAACAAAAUAUAUCUUCUUGGUUCUUCUGUCAAUGUCUGAGAAUCUCCAUAAUGAAAAGGUGAAGAAAAAAACAAUGGUAGAAUAAUCUGGAUAUGUAUGCCUAACUCCAAGUGGUAAAGCCUACUAUCCAAAAAUGUCCUACCCUUACCUAAGCCCCAUUACAACCCGAAAGUCCUCUAAAAAUGUAUGCGUUUACUGCACUGUGAUUGCAAAAUUCAGACGCAAAAGAUGAGAAAAAUGAAAAAUACAUCAGACAUCAGAUGUUGUGCGCCUAGAGCGCGCCCUGCGCGCCUGGAGCGCAUUUCUCGUGUUUCAGUUCUGUCAACGUGCGCCUGGAGCGCAUUUCUCGUGUUCCAGUUCUGUCAACGUGCGCCUGGAGCGCGUGACGCGCAUCAGCAAUCAUAAAAACACAAAUUUUUACUGUUUAUGGAUCUUUUUGACUCUUGGGAACUUGGGAGACUUGUGCCCUAGCAUAGAAACUCAAAGACGGCCGUUUCUAACGCCAUUGGAGCAGUUUUAUCAAGAAUCAUUCAUGAAUCCUUCUUGUAAUUCUUCUCUGAUCUCUAUCUCUUUUAUCUCUGUCAUGAGUAACUAAACCCUAUUUGUUAGGGAUGAGUGUAACAAGAUGAAACCCUUAUUUUUAUGAUUUGAUUUCUAGUUAUAUGAAUGAGUUUAUUGAAUUAUUUUUCUCAUCUCUGUGCUUAAUGCUUUUUAUUGCUUGAUCAACAUUAAAAUGUUCUACGAUUUGUAUUUUGAAACGGAAGUGGACUUUACGAAUGCUUGAGAUGAGAAAUUCAUGAAUUUGUAGUCUAGACAUAGAUGCAGGUCAUGAAACCAAUUAAAUUAGUUGCAAAGCAAUAAUUUACAAGAGAAUUUCUAUACGAUAAUGCUUAAUUCUAAUCUUAAAUCUACUAAGGAAUUAGGGGUUACUUUGGAAUUAAAGGUUCUGUCACUAAGACAUUAGGGCAAGAAUAAUAAAGAGAAUUCGGUAAUAAUUCAAUAAAGGAAUUCAGUAACUAGGAUCAAAUUAGACACCAAGGUUGGAUUCGAAGUGAAACUCAUCCCUGACAUUUUUCUCAAUUUAUAAAGGAUCAAUUUUACUACUGCUGUCAAUUUUAAAUAUUACUUCAAUCAACUUGGGAACCUUUUGUUCAAUAUUAGUAACUAAAUAUAAUUCAAUAGUAAAACGCAAUCCUUGAGUUCGACACUCGAUACUACCGUUUUAUUAUUACUUGCAACGAUUCAGUACACUUGCUGAAACACUAUCAGUUAUUGAUGGACUUUGUAUUGUAAGUGGAAAUGAUUCAGAGCCUUUUUAAAAUUAAAAAACCUGCAAUAUUUAGCAGUUGCAUUCAGCUACAUGCAGUGUGUAGUCGAAUACACAUAUGUAACGUUCAGUUUUUAUGUAAAAUUUCCACGUCGUAUUCGAAUAAGAACAUGUUGUUUUUGCCACUGACUUGACUUGUAUUCGGCUACGAAAAUGUUGUAUUCGAAUACGACAAUAUAGUUUGUCAAAAACUUCAUUUUUCAACAUUGUUUAUGCAUUUUUGACAUAUGAAAACCCUUUCGAGGAGUAUGAUGAGAUGAAAGUUUCUCUUGAGCAUUUGAUAAUAUAAAAAUUAUGCCAAGUGUUAUUUGUUAAUUUCGGUUGGAGACCCUUUACAUUAUUGUGGAUCGGGAUUACGCCUCAGGUUAUUAGAGUUUGGAGUCAUGCUGGAAUUGCAACGACGUCGAAGACGUGGCAUAGCGAUAGUUUUGAUUUGUAAUCGAAAGCAGUGAGGCUUGAUGCCGCUUGUGGAUCCUCAGUAUCCAGUCACCAUCAAUUAGAUUAAUGAUCAGCUUAGGGUUUUAUUUAUNNNNNNNNNNNNNNNNNNNNNNNNNNNNNNNNNNNNNNNNNNNNNNNNNNNNNNNNNNNNNNNNNNNNNNNNNNNNNNNNNNNNNNNNNNNNNNNNNNNNNNNNNNNNNNNNNNNNNNNNNNNNNNNNNNNNNNNNNNNNNNNNNNNNNNNNNNNNNNNNNNNNNNNNNNNNNNNNNNNNNNNNNNNNNNNNNNNNNNNNNNNNNNNNNNNNNNNNNNNNNNNNNNNNNNNNNNNNNNNNNNNNNNNNNNNNNNNNNNNNNNNNNNNNNNNNNNNNNNNNNNNNNNNNNNNNNNNNNNNNNNNNNNNNNNNNNNNNNNNNNNNNNNNNNNNNNNNNNNNNNNNNNNNNNNNNNNNNNNNNNNNNNNNNNNNNNNNNNNNNNNNNNNNNNNNNNNNNNNNNNNNNNNNNNNNNNNNNNNNNNNNNNNNNNNNNNNNNNNNUAGUUUGCACCGUUUUCAAAUAGAUUUUUUUACAAUUAAAAUAUUUAUAAGCUUGUUAUAAAACGCAGACAGAGUUUAGAGGAAAUUAUUCGAACAUAAUAUAUUAUUUUACACUUUUAAGUAUAACAUAUGUUCUUACAUAUAUACUCUCUUUCUAAAGUUAAACUAAUAUAUUUCUAUGACAUUUUAAAUUUCUGAACCCGCAAACCCUGCCCUAACAUAAAAAAAAAAAAAAAUAUAUAUAUAUAUAUAUAUAUAUAUAUAUAUAUUAUUUCUCUUUAUAAUUGAAGUAUAAUUAUAAUUUAGUUGUUGAAUUUGAUUUGUUAAUUUCAUUGGUUUAUGCACUUCUUUUAAUAAAAAUAUUUAUAGCGAGCAUAUUGUUUUUUAGUUUUGUUUUGUAUAUGGUUGUAUUUUAUGUAUUGAAAUGAUACGAUGUGAUAAAGUUUUUUGAUUUUUUAGAUGUUGAAUUAUUUAAAACUAAAUUACAAUUUUAAGUAUUCAAAAAAUUUAUCAUCAAAAGGUUUCUUAAUUUAUGAGUUUCCUAAAUUUAUAAUAUAGCUUUUAUGCUUCUGAAAUUAAAAAUAAUAUAGCAGUAACUACAAAAUAUGAUAAAUAAAAGAAAUGUAAAAAUCUUAACACACUUUGCAUACGGAUCUUUCAGUUGUCUUGGAUAUUUGUAAGGUUUAUGGAGUAAUUGUUUAGAAAGCAUUGCUAUACGUUGAGGUUUGUUUGAAACCUCUAUAUAUUUUAAUAAUUUGUACAUUGAUAAUAUAUAUUUAAAUUUAGAGUUUUAUAGAAAUAAUAAUAUUGGUUUUUUUUUUUUAUCAUAAACACAUAAACAUCGAUCACCCAUGUUAUUUGUUCUUAUGAUUGAGUUUUGAAAGGACACGGUGAUACAUGAGAACCAACAUACUUAUAUAUAAACAAACAUAAAAUAAAAUAUAUAAAAAAAAUCCACAUAUGACAGGAGAUAUCAUACAAAUACAUAAUGAAAUAAAAUAAGAAAAUUGUGCGAUACACAAACACCCAUGCAAUAGUAAAAUCAUCCAUUCAAGCCAGACGGGUCUUAUUUAGAAGAUAUAAGAAACAAACUUUAUCAUGACAAGAUCUAGCUAUUAUUUAUUAAUGACCCGUAGAAUGCGUUUUAAAUAACUACUAGGUAGCUAGAUAGCUAGAUAGUAAUUAAUUAUCCUGAUUUAGUGAGGAGUUCUUGUGCCUUUAUCUCAAAGGAGAAAGGUUUUCCGUUGGGUGGAGGGGUUGCAGAGUCAUUAGCAUUCCAAAUAAAAAUGCCACGAAGUGAUUCAGCAUCGAGGAGAUCGAUAACACCCUCAAGGAAGUCUUCUCGUGAAAUUUUACCUGCGUCAUCUGGAUCAGUACUAGCUCCUGCCAGAAGUUUUUUAGAACCGUAGACGUCUGAUAGACUAAGAAAGAUAUUUUUAAACUCAUCCUUUGAUUUGAGAGUCUCAAAGUAGAACUGAUAGUCCACCCAAUCAAUAUAAUCAUGGCGAGCCAAAAAUAGUGUAUGGUACUUGGAAUUGACUGGUUUAGAUGGAGCAAUGGAAACCACAUCGACAGAUAGAUCAGUAUCCUCCUUGAGUCUCUUUAUAACAUCCCCCACACCAGAAGAGAAAUCUCCACCAUCGGAUGUGAUGUACUCAUAGUUGAUAUCAAUGCCAUCUAUUAUGUUAAAGCUCCAAGGAUCCUUGACUUCGUUGUAUUGCUGCAUGAUCUUUUUGAGUGAGUUUACAGCAUUGUAAGGCCAUUCUACUUUUGAAGCAGGAUUGAAUGGAUGUUUAUCACCACGACCACCGAUGCUUAUUACAACCUUCACAUUUUUAUGAGUUUACAGCAUUGUAAGGCCAUUCUACUUCUGAUUUUGCUUGAGUUCCUUCACUUUUUCAGGACUGAAGAAAUGAACGUUCCAAUUUGGGUUGAAAACUCCUGUGCCUUUUCCACUAUCAUCGUAAGUCUCUGUGGCAAAGCCUUAAAUGAAGUGGAAUUGGUGGAUCUUGGAGUUGAUGAUAUCAGUUGGGAAAUUAUGUAAAGUGUCUGGAUAUGGCUUCACGCCAAUGUAUUCUCGAAAAAUGAUUGGCUUCACAUCACUGUCUUUGAUUUGACGAGAAUCAGACAUUGUGAUAAAAAUUUGAAUUUGGAUUGAUCUCUUUUGUUGGUUUAGAUAUUUGUGGUAUUGUUGGGUGAAAUAAGCAUCUCUUGAUGCCCUUUUAUAAGUCGGUAGUACCGAGUAUCGAACUCAAGAAUUGCGUUUUACUAUCAAAUUAAAAUUAAUUACUAAAAUUGAACAAAAAGUUUCCAAGUUGAUUGAAAUAAUAUUUAAAAUUAAUAACAGUAAUAAAAUUGAUCAUUUAUAAUAAGCAAAAUGUGAGGGAUGAGUUUCACUUCGAAUCCAUCCUUGGUGUCUAAUUUGAUCCUAGUUAUUGAAUUCCUUUAUUGAAUUAUUAUCGAAUUCUCUUUAUUAUACUGGCCCUAAUGUCUUAGUGACAAAACCUUUAACUCCAAAGUAACCCCUAAUUCCUUAGUGGAUUUAAGAUUAGAAUUAAGUAUUACCGUACAUGAAUUUUCAUGUUAAACUAUUGUCUCUGCAACUAAUUUAAUUGGUUUCAUGACCUGAAUCUAUCCGUAGACUACGAAUUCAUGAAUUUCUUAUCUCAAGCAUUCGUAAAGUCCACUUCCGUUUCAAAAUACAAAUCAUUGAACAUUUGAAUGUUGAUCAAGCAAUAAAAAGCAUUAAGCACAAACAUGAGAAAAAUAAUUCAAUAAACUCAUUCAUCUAAAUAGAAAUCAAAUUUGAAAAAUAAGGGUUUCAUCUUGUUACACUCAUCCCUAACAAAUAGGGUUUAGUUACUCAUGACAGAGAUAGAAAAGAUAGAGAUUAGAGAAGAAUUACAAGAAAGGUCAUGAAUGAUUCUUGAUAAAACUGCUCCAAUGGUGUUAGAAACAACCGUCUUUGAGUUUUUAUGCUAAGGCACAAGUCUCUCAACUUCCCAAUAGUCAAAAAGAUGCCUAAACAGUGAAAGUUUGCGUUUUUAAUUAAUGUUGUCGCGUCCAUGCGCCCCAGGCGCACGCUGGCAGUGCUGAAAGGCAAGAGAUGCGCCUCAGGCGCGACUGUUGCGCUUCAGGCGCACAUCAUCUGCUAUAUGACCUAUACUGCAUUCGGACAUUUACAACUCUAGAUAUGGCUGAAAUCCUUCACAUAGGUCACGUUGAUUUCUCACCAAAAUUCAGCACUGCACUAAAACAAAACGCAAUUUAAAAUUACAAAAAAAUCCCUACUUAAUCAAUGAAAUGAAAACACAAACAUUUUAUUACCUUAAAGAACAAAAAUAAACAAAAUAUAUCAAAUAACUCCUUAAUUUAACCAAUAAUUAAAGAUAAAUAAGACUAAAACAAUGAAAAAUAUGCAUAUGAUGAAGAUUUAUCACAUCCCAAACUUAAUCUAUUGAUUGUCCCCAAGCAACAAUUAAUUUCUCAAACUCAAACUUGGUACAGUUAAACUCAAACUUAAACUCAAUUUCUUAAAUCAAAUCAAACUCAAUUAUCAAAGUUCCAGCUGCUUCAAAACAUUUAUCAUGCUCCAUGGUUGCUUACGAAAAAAAAAAAAACACAAUUUGUAUACUUUAGCAUUCAUUCAUCAAGUUCAACUCUCUCUUCACACAAUCUCACCAAAAUUUCUCUCAAGUGUUUAACAAGGGUUAUGAAUUUAUCACUCAAAUUUUAGAACAUGCAUCACGCUACCAUAGGCUUUAAAAAAUUAUAGUUAGCAACCACAAUGCAGCAAACACAUACACUUUUGGAGAACUUUCGGGUUGCAAUGGGACUUAGGUAAGAGUACGACAUUUUGAAAUAGUAGGCUUUACUACUUGGAUUUAGGCAUACAUUUUCAAAUUAUUCUACCAUGUUUUAUUUUUGUUCACCUUUUCAUUGUGGAGAUUCUCAAACAUUGACAAAAGAACCAAGAAGAUAUUAUUUAUCAAAGUACACAAAAUAUUUUUUUUUUUGUGAGAAUCACCACCCCAAACUUAAAAGGUUGCUAUCCCAUGAGCAACCCCAAACUUAGCACUUUAUCAAGACAAGAAUUUUUUUUUUUUACCUAACUUCACAUAAGGUGAUUUAAUUAAAGUUAGGUCUUUGGCUUAUAAUGUGGCUAGUGACCGAAAUAAAAGGGAAAGGCUCAAAUGGGCUAGCAAAGGGUAAAAGUUGUAUAGGGUAAUUAGAAAGGCACAAACAACCAAACAAAAUUGCCCCAGUAUAUGCAUAAAUUACAAGUGAUGCAAGUCAGAAGUAGUGUAAGUUCUGAACGGAUAACACAUGUCUGGAUAAUCACACAACAAAUGAUUAAAGUGUUUAGGCCCAAAAGCUCACAAUUAGGAUAAUAAGAGAGAGUGUGAACAAUUAAAAUAAUGUCAAACAUGCCACUGAAAAGUUAAAAUUGUAUUUUUGAAAAAUUGAUGGCAUAUUAGCCUUCUACAAUCACUUAGUAAUAAAAAAUGUAGCAUUAGGAAGACUUGUCGACUUGAGCAAUAACAUAAUCUAAGAAAUAGAAUUUAACUUUCGAAAUCCCAAAUAGAGAACUUAAGAUCAAAUGCAAGUUAUUACAACUUCUUCAUCAUAGUACACAUUUAGUGAAAGGAAAAAAUAAGGAAAAUAAUAAUAAUAAAAUAAAAUAAAAUUCGACAAUUGAAAUAAGAAAAAGAAAAAAAAACAAAGAAAGAAAAAAAAAAAGGAAAGAAAACUUCUCUCAGUUUAGUAAUUCAAGGGGACUUGUUUAGGUCCUCCACUCCUAUACCACUAUGGUCGCCUGUAUAUUGGUGAUGUGAAAAUAAAUCAGCAUAAAACAUGCCUCCUAGUGUCUGUUGAGAAGAAGCGAAGGCUCGAUACAGAUUGGUCAUCCCCAGUUCUAUUCUGGUUUGUCCAUCUCGCCGAUCGAUCAUCAAUUGUUCCAUCAUAGUUUCCAGUCUGCCACAUAUUUCCUCGGUGGAGAGCUCUGAUGGAUGUGGAGGGUGGUGAUGUGGUUCCUGUGGUUCAGUAUUUUCCUCUGCCGUCAUCGCUGCUUGUGGGGCACCAGGAUAGUCUGCCAGAAUCAUAAAGUGCUUUUCUAUCCACUUAGCAGUGAUUGGAGUAGCAGGUUUCACCAUUUCUUCACCCUGUUUAGGUGAUACUCUCACCUGCUCACAUAGUUUACUUAUCAGGGAAGCGUGAUGGAAGUAGCCUGUCAGAGGAUCAAGAAUUGUUGUCCCCCAAAGAUCAUGAGCUAGUAACAUGCCCAUAUUAAUUAUGUCGCCUUUUAUGAUAGAAGUUAGUAGACAUGCUCUCUGAAAUGUUAUAUCUGACACAUUCGAACAUGGUAGUAGCGUAUGAUGAACAAAGGUACUCCAUGCUUUUGCAAUUGGGGUGAGAUCCAAUGAGCGCAGUUUCCUAACUAAGCCAUCUCUAUUUCGUAUCCAAUAUGUGCCAGGUCUGCAUAAAAUGCGCAGGAUCUUCUGAGUGUCUACUUUUAUAAUGUGGUCUUCCAUAGCUUGAAAACGGCAAUCCUUAUAGUUCGGUAGACCAAAAAAUUCAUUGAUGACUUGAGGCGUGAAGGGCAUCCUUUUUCCCCUCACAUAACUCACAAAUUGAUCAUGUGGAAAUGGUUUGUCAGACUUCAGAUCAGAGGUAUUGGAGAAGAAUUUCACUGCUAAUGAUUUUCUCGCUGUGGUGACGAAUGUGGUCAACUUCUCCCAUCCUCUAGCAGCAAUCAUCGCCUGGAUGUCAACAAAUUCACCUGGCUUCCAACUUAAAAUUUUUAUCACUCACAAACUUCUUGACUGCAGGGAGUUUGGCAUGAAACUCUUGUGUUUCCAUGGUCUUGAAUAAGAAUGUAUUGUGUGGUUGGGAGGAAGAUGUAUUUGCGAUCUUAUUUCAUUUUGUUUUUUGUUGGAUUGCCAUUAGGUCCUGCAAAACAAUUAUUCACAUCCAGAGUUCAAAAUAUUACAGGUUAGAGGUAAUUAGUUUAAGCAUGUGUCCCCUUGGAAAAAUAACUACAUCAAUUUCCCUGAGUUUAUCCAACAAAAUUCUGAAUGAUAACAAUGCAUAUAGAUUGGUUGUGUCAUUUUCUCAAACAGUUGGAGUGUAGUACAGAUUUUGUGGUAACUAGGAUUCAAAAGUGGUUGUGUCAUUUUAACAAACAGGUGGAAUGCAAGCAUGAAAUACAUGAACAAUCCACAGUCAUAAGUGACGAUUUCUAACAUUAACACACAUUCGAUCUCAGACAACCAACAUGCAUGUAUGAAUUUUUUUUAAUACUAGCACAAAUUCAAAUUUAAAGAACCCACAUGCAUCAAUGAACAAGGAGGAGUUGAUAGUAACAAUUGGAGAAAACUUACUUGAGGAUGGAAGAAUGUUUGAUAGGAGAGGAAAACUGAACUUUGUUGAUAAUGGAGGAAGGCUUGGAGAGGUAAUAAAGAUGUGUGUAUCAGUUAACUCUUGUGGGAGGGGAGAGUUAUGUGAGAAAACAAGGGUUUUAAACCCAGCAAUGUGCUUCAAGCGCAAGGGACGCGCUUUAGGCGUGCGCUGACAGUAACAAAACACAGGAAAUGCGCUUCAAGUGCAAGGGACGCGCCUCAAGCGCGUGCAAGCAGUGAUAAUUUCAGCUAAAUGCACUUCAAGCACAGACGACGUGCCUCAGGCGCGUUGGCAAUAUCAAACUUCUGAGAAAUGCACUUCAAGCGUUGAGGCCGCGCUUCAGACAUGCGCUAACAGUAGCAAAAUCUGAGAUGCGCUUCAAGCGCUGAGGCCACACUUCAGGCGCGCGCUAACAACAGCAAAAUCUGAGAAAUGCGCUUCAAGCAUUGAGGCUGCGCUUCAAGCGCAAAUGAUGCCAAUCCGAAUAGUAAAAUCAAUUCCCAACACAUCUUUUUGAUUCUUUGCUCAUACCAAACAUCAAGAACUAAUACAACUAGCAGUUAAAAACUAAAAUUGAAACCAAAUAGAGUAAAAUGAAACUGAAAUGGAAAAAAUACCGUGUGAAGGAUACGAAUUUGGGUUGCCUCCCAAUAAGCGCUCGUUUAGUGUCUUGAGCUUGACAUUCCACUCUUCAAGUGGUGAUCAGAUUGAUGGACUCCAUCAAGAGUUUUGACUCUACCCCUAAAUAAGAUUUGAGCCUUUGUCCAUUCACCUUGAAGCUCCGAUUUGAGUGUGUAUCUUUCAACUCCACAACACCGUAUGGAAAUACUUUGAUUGUCUUAAAAGGGCCCGACCAUCUUGACUUUAGUUUUCCUGGAAACAACUUCAAUCUUGAGUUGAAUAAAAAAACUAGUUCUCCUUCUUGGAAUUUCUUGAAUUUAAUUUUUUGGUCAUGCCAGUUCUUGGUUUUUUCUUUAUAUAUCUUGGUGUUCUCAUAUGCAAAAUUUCGGAACUCCUCUAACUCGUGAAGCUAAAGAAUUCUUGACUCACAUGCCUUGACCAAGUCAAAAUCCAAGUACUUCGUCGCCCAAAAUGCUCGAUGCUCCAGUUUGAGAGGCAAAUGCCAGGCUUUACCGUACACGAUUUGAUACGACGACAUACUAAAGGAGGUCUUAAAAGUUGUUCAGUAGGCCCAAAGUGCACCAUCAAGUUUCGUUGACCAAUCUUUUUGUGAGGCAUUCACUAUCUUUUCAAGGAUUCGCUUAAGCUGUCUGUUGGAUACUUCAACUUGCCCACUAGUUUGUGGGUGAUAUGGGGUUGCCACCCUAUGACGUACAUUAUAUUUCCUUAGAAGGUAUUCUAUUUUCCGGUUCAGAAAGUGAGUGCCCUCGUCAUUAAUCAAAGCUCAAGGCACGCCAAAACGCGCGAAUAUGUUCUUCUUGAGAAAUGUGAUGACAUGUUUUGAAUCAUUGGUUGGAGUAGCAACUACUUCAACCCAUUUUGAGACAUAAUCCACCGCCACCAAAAUAUAAAUUUUUUUAUAUGAGGAUGGGAAUGGACCCAUGAAGUCAAUACCCCACACAUUGAACACUUGUACUUAUAAUACAGGAUUUUGCGGCAUCUCAUCCCAUUUUGAAAUGUUACCGAUGUGAUGGCAUCGAUCGCAUUUCUUCACAUAGUUGAAUGAAGGGUUCAUCCCAUACAUAGAAUUUGGCAUCAUGGAUAAACUUCUUUCGUUGUUGGUAAGUGAAAUCAGAUGGAAUUGCCUCACCUACCUUAAAAUUAGCAAAGUCGGCGAACCAAGGUGCCUUGGCAAUAGCGAAGAUGUGCUCAUCAACAAAUUGGUCUCGAAUCAGUCUAAUGUCCUUAUUCUCAUCAACUUUCUCCAAUCGAGAUAGGUGGUCAUCUACAGUGUUCUCUGAUCCCUUCUUAUCUCGGAUCUCAAUGUUGAAUUCUUGUAGUAAUAGAAUCCAUCUAAGUAUCCUUGGUUUCGAUUCUUGCGUAGUAAACAAAUACCUCAAGGUAGCAUGAUCAGUGUAAACAAUAACUUUCGAUUCUAAUAAAUAAGAUCGAAACUUAUCAAAAGCAUAAACUACAGCUAAUAAUUCUUUUUCAGUUGUGGCAUAAUUGUGUUGUGCCAGAUUUAAAACAUGACUAGCGUAGUAGAUUACAUGCAACAUCUUGUCUUUUCUUUGUCCCAAGACUGCCCCAAUAGCAUUGUCACUUGCAUCAAACAUGAUUUCAAAAGGUAGUGAUCAGUCAGGUGCAGUGAUAAUGGGAGCAGUUAUCAACUUAUUUUUCAAAUUGUUAAAAGCAUGCAAACAAUCCUCAUUGAAUUUGAAAGGUGUGUCUUUCACAAGUAGGUUUGUAAGCGGUUUUGCAAUUUUAGGAAAAUCUUUUAUAAAUCUCCUAUAAAAUCCAGCAUGGCCUAAAUAGGUUCUAAUGCCUUUUUCAUUGGUAGGAGGGGGAAGUUUUUCAAUAACUUCAACUUUGGCCUUGUAUACCUCGAUCCCCUUGUGGGAGAUUCGGUGGCCUAACACAAUUCCCUAUCUUACCAUAAAAUGAUAUCUUUUCUAGUUUAGGACCAAGUUGGAUUUUUCACACCUUUCUAAUACAAGAGAUAGAUUAAUCAAACAAUUAUCGAAAUAUGAACCAAAGACAGAAAAGUCAUUCGUAAAUACUUCGAUAUGUUUCUCAAUCAUAUCAUAGAAUAUGGACAUCAUGCACCUUUGAAACGUGGCAGGUGCAUUACACACCCCAAACGGCAUUCGUCGAUAAGAAAACACCUCAAAUAGACAUGUAAAUGUAGUUUUUUCUUGAGCCUCGGGUGCCACAGCUAUCUGAUUGUAUAUCGAAUAGCCAUCUAGGAAGCAGUAAUACUCAUGUCUGGCUAGCCGCUCAAGCAUCUGAUCAAUGAAAUGGAGCGGAAAAUGAUCCUUCCUCGUAGUACUGUUCAAUCUUUUAUAGUCAAUACAAACUCUCCAGCUUGUAACCGUUCGUGUAGGAAUUAGCUCGUUCUUUUCAUUUGUGAUGAUGGUCGUUACACCCUUUUUUGGUACAACUUGGACGGGACUCACCCAAGAUCUAUCUAAAAUGGGGUAAAUGAGACUGACUUCUAAGAGCUUUACCAUUUCUUUCCUAAUCACUUCUUUCAUUGGUGGAUUCAAUCGUUUUUGGGGUUGUACAACCGAUUUGUGAUUGUCCUCCAUUAGGAUUUUGUGCAUACAAAAAGUUAAACUUAUUCCUUUCAAGUCCUCAAUGGACCAACCGAUGGCCCCCUUAUGCUUCCGCAGAAUUCUCAACAACUUUUCUUCUUGUAACUCACUCAAGCUUGCACUAACUAUGGUUGAAUUCUUAUCUUUUUCACCCAGGAAUACAUAUUUCAAAUGAGGAGGUAACUGCUUGAGUUCAAUCAGUGGUGUAUUUUUCUCUGAGCUCUUUCUAAUGGAAAACUGGGUAUUUGAUGCUCCAUUUCUUCGUUGACUAUCGCAUCUAAGAUCUCGAUUCGAUUGCACCCUUCUCUUUCUUUUGAAUGUUCCAUGGCUUUUAGAAUGUUAAAAGUGACGGUUUCUUCAUUUACUUUUAAGGUUAAGGUGCCAUCUGCUACAUCAAUCAUAGCUCGCCCUGUUACUAAGAACGGUCUCCCCAAAAUCAAAGGAAUGUAAUUGUCCUCAUCCAUAUCUAGUACCACGAAAUCCACUGGAAAAAUGAACUUACCCACUUUAACCAACACAUCUUCCACCACUCCAUAUGGAUGUUUCAUUGAGCGAUCCACAAACUGUAACAUCAGUUGUGUGUCUUUGACUUUUCCAAUGCCCAACUUUUUGUAUAUGGAAAGGGGCAUAAGACUUACACUAACCCCAAGAUCACACAAAACCUUCUCAAAAGUUUUAUUUCCAAGAGCGCACGGGAUUGAUAAGCUUCCAGGAUCCUUGAGCUUCGGUGGCAGCUUCCUCUAUAGUAUAGCACUACUCUCUUCGGUAAGCAUCACUAUUUCAGCGCCGAUUUUUCUUUUCUGCAAUUUUUUAAAAACAUCAAGAAAUUUGCCGAAUUGUUUUUCCAUUUCUUCCUUUUUUAAUCUUUGAGGAAACAGAAGUCGAUUUUCUGGUGUUGGCAGUGUCUCCUUUUUUCUACGCCACAUGUUCUUCUUCCUUUUCAAGAGCGAUGUGCUCCUCAACUGAUGUCGGGGUUACCAUUUCCUCCGAGUGGGUCGAAGUUGAAGUACUUCCACUUUGUUUGGCUUUAGGUGGUACUUGUUCACUUACCUUACCAUUCCUCGUUGUCACGACAUUGACAUUAUUUCGCGGAUUUGGAACUAUGUCACUAGGCAUAUUUCUAGGCGCUCUUUAUGCCAUUUGUUGAGCAAGUUGAUCCAAUUGGGUCUCCAGAUUAUUUAUUGAUGCAGAGUGGUUUUUCUGGAUGGCUCUUGACUCUUCAAUGAAAGAACUUGUGUUUGCUACUAACUUCUCAAUAGCACUCUCCCAAGCAGGUUUUCGAGGUGGAGCCUGAUUUGCUUGAGCUCCUUGAUGACCUUGAGAUCCACCCUGUUGAUCUUUCCACGAAAAAUUUGGGUGAUUUCUCCAUCCAGAGUUGUACAUACUAGAGUAGGGAUUACUUUGCUUCCCGUUAUUACCCACAAAAUUCACCUCUUCUAGUUCUUUUAUAUCAUUUUCAUCCAGUGAUUCACAAGCUCCAUUUUUAUGUGCUCCCCCACAAAAGUCAAAACCAGUAUGUUUCAAUAAUUUGACAGAGGUCACUUGGGUUGUAUAAUUAGAGCUACCAUCCCUUUCUUUAUCUCAGCGGCGAUAACAUCUUCUAUCUGUUUUGAGAGCAACCUGCCUCGAGCCAACCCAACAUCAAUAACAUUCAGUUCCAAUAUACCACUUGUUGACCUUCCACCUCUAUCAUACAACAUCGUUUGUUCAUUUGAUGCCAUGAUCUCAAUAAUUUUUCGUGCUUCUGAUGCGGUCUUGUAAUUCAAAGAACCCCUGCUGUAGCAUCCAACAUAAUUCUCGUGUUAGGCCUCAAACCGUUACAGAAUAUCUGCAUAUGAGCAAUGUCGUCAUAAGCAUGAUUGGGGAAUCCUGCUAGUAAACUCUUGAACCUCCUUUAAGUGUCAAGAAGAGGUUCUUCUUCUUUCUAUUUGUAACUAGAAAUCUCUUGCCUCUUUCUAACGAACACAGCUGGGGGAAAGUAUUAUUCCAAGAAUUUAUCUUCAAGGUCAUCCCAUGUGGUGAUGUUAUCGGCAUGAAAUGAAUUAAGCCACUCCUUAGCAUCAUCUUUCAAUGACAAUGGAAAUAAUUUCAACCUCUUGCCUUCUUCAGAACAAAAUCACCCAAAACCUCUUCUUCCACUCCUAACUAACUAUCUUUCCCUUUGUCUCCUUUCUCGAGCCGCCUUUCGAUUUGCUUUUGCAGUUUUUUCGAUUUCUGGAUCAAAGAUAAGUUUCGCUGAGGACUGGCCUCGCAUUCAAGGUUAGACAAAUUGUGAGUAAUGAAGAGUUUUAAAAGAAACAACAAUAAUAAUUAAAAUAAAAACAAAAAUUUUAUUGCAGAGCAAAAAAUUUCAAUUAAGUAAAUAAAUUAAAUUCAAUAGUGAUAUGGCAAUCCACGGCAACGGCGCCAAAAACAUGAUAGCGUUUCAGCAAGUGUACUGAAUCGUUGCAAGUAAUAAUAAAACGGUAGUAGUGAGUGUUGAACUCAAGGAUUGUGUUUUACUAUCGAAUUAAAAUUAAUUACUAAAAUUGAACAAAAAGUUCCCAAGUUGAUUGAAAUAAUAUUUAAAAUUAAUAACAGUAUUGAUGUCUAAUUUGAUCCUAGUUAUUGAAUUCCUUUAUUGAAUUAUUACCGAAUUCUCUUUAUUAUUCUUGCCCUAAUGUCUUAGUGACAGAACCUUUAAUUCCAAUGUAACUCCUAUUUCCUUAGUGGAUUUAAGAUUAUAAUUAAGCAUUACUGUACAUGAAUUCUCUUGUUAAACUAUUGUCUCUGCAACUAAUUUAACUGGUUUCAUGACCUGCAUAUCCCAAGACUACGAAUUUAUGAAUUUCUCAUCUCAAGCACUCGUAAAGUCCACUCCCGUUUCAAAAUAUGAAUCGUAGAACAUUUUAAUGUUGAUCAAGCAAUAAAAAGCAUUAAGCACAGAGAUAAGAAAAGUAAUUCAAUAAACUCAUUCAUAUAAAUAGAAAUCAAAUUAGAAAAAUAAGGGUUUCAUCUUGUUACACUCAUCCCUAACAAAUAGGGUUUAGUUACUCAUGACAGAGAUAGAAAAGAUAGAAAUUAGAGAAGAAUUACAAGAAAGAUCCAUAAAUGAUUCUUGAUAAAACUGCUUCAAUGGUGUUAGAAACAGUUGUCUUUGAGUUUCUAUGCUAGGGCACAAGUCUUCCAACUUCCCAAUAGAAAAAAAAAUGCCUAGAAAGUGAAACAUUGCGUUUUUAAUGAAUAAUCUCGUGUCCACGCGCCCCAUGCGCAGAAAACGCGCUUCAAGCGCACGCUGGCAGUACAACAUCUACUGUCUAACUUAUACUACAUUUUUCUCCUCUUUCGAGUAUUAAUGUGGUUCCGGUUUCUUUAUGAAAGUUGUAGCUAUGGACAUUAGCUUUCGUUUGCACGUAGUUUGGAAUCCAAUUGCACGUAGUUUGCACCGUUUUCAAAUAGAUUUUUUUACAAUUAAAAUAUUUAUAAGCUUGUUAUAAAAUGCACACAGAGUUUAGAGGAAAUUAUUCGAACAUAAUAUAUUAUUUUACACUUUUAAGUAUAACAUAUGUUCUUACAUAUAUACUCUCCUUCUAAAGUAAAACUGAUAUAUUUGUAUGACAUUUUAAAUUUCUAAACCCGCAAACCCUGCUGUGACAUAAAAUAUAUAUAUAUAUAUAUAUAUAGUAUUUCUCUCUAUUGUUGAAGUAUAAUCAUUGGUUUAUGCAUUACUUUUAAUAAAAAUAUUUAUAGCGAGCAUAUUGUUUUUUAGUUUUGUUUUGUAUAUAGUUGUAUUUUAUGUAUUGAAAUGAUGCGAUGUGAUAAAGUUUUUUGAUUUUUUAGAUGUUGAAUUAUUUAAAACUAAAUUACAAUUUUAAGUAUUCAAAAAAUUUAUCAUCAAAAGGUUUCUUUAUGAGUUUCCUAAAUUUAUAAUAUAGCUUUUAUGCUUCUGAAAUUAAAAAUAAUAUAGCAGUAACUACAAAAUAUGAUAAAUAAAAGAAAUUUAAAAAUCUUAACACACUUUGCAUACGGAUCUUUCAGUUGUCUUGGAUAUUCGUAAGGUUUAUGGAGUAAUUGUUUAGAAAGCAUUGCUAUACGUUGAGGUUUGUUUGAAACCUCUAUAUAUUUUAAUAAUUUGUACAUUGAUAAUAUAUGUUUAAAUUUAGAGUUUUAUAGAGAUAAUAAUAUUGGUUUUUUUUAUCAUAAACACAUAAAGAUCGAUCGCCCAUGUUAUUUGUUCUUAUGAUUGAGUUUUGAAAGGACACGGUGAUACAUGAGAACCAACAUACUUAUAUAUAAACAAACAUAAAAUAAAAUAUAUAAAAAAACCCACAUAUGACAGGAGAUAUAAUACAAAUACAUAAUGAAAUAAAAUAAGAAAAUUGUGCGAUACACAAACACCCAUGCAAUAGUAAAAUCAUCCAUUCAAGCCAGACGGGUCUUAUUUAGAAGAUAUAAGAAACAAACUUUAUCAUGACAAGAUCUAGCUAUUAUUUAUUAAUGACCCGUAGAAUGCGUUUUAAAUAACUACUAGGUAGCUAGAUAGCUAGAUAGUAAUUAAUUAUCCUGAUUUAGUGAGGAGUUCUUGUGCCUUUAUCUCAAAGGAGAAAGGUUUUCCGUUGGGUGGAGGGGUUGCAGAGUCAUUAGCAUUCCAAAUAAAAAUGCCACGAAGUGAUUCAGCAUCGAGGAGAU